CCCAUGGAAACGUGGGCUAAUACCCCAUACGGUCACGCGGUUUAGAAGCGCGUGAAGAAAACUCCGGUGCUGAAGGAGGGGGCUGUGGCCCAUCAGCUAGUUGGUAGGGUAACGGCCUACCAAGGCGAGGACGGGUAGGGGGCCUGAGAGGGUGACCCCCCACACGGGUACUGAGACACGGACCCGACUCCUACGGGAGGCAGCAGUAAGGGAUAUUGCGCAAUGGACGAAAGUCUGACGCAGCAACGCCGCGUGCGGGAUGACGGCCUUCGGGUUGUAAACCGCUUUUCUGCGCGAAGAGGAAGGACGGUAGCGCAGGAAUAAGUCUCGGCUAACUACGUGCCAGCAGCCGCGGUAAAACGUAGGAGGCGAGCGUUAUCCGGAUUUACUGGGUGUAAAGCGCGUGCAGGCGGUCGUGUAAGUUGUGCGUGAAAGCGCUCUGGCUCAACCGGGCGAGGACGUGCAAAACUGCAGGGCUUGAGGUAGGUAGAGGCGUGUGGAAUUCCGGGUGUAGUGGUGAAAUGCGUAGAGAUCCGGAGGAACACCAGUGGCGAAGGCGACACGCUGGGCCUGACCUGACGCUAAGACGCGAAAGCAUGGGUAGCGAACGGGAUUAGAAACCCCGGUAGUCCAUGCCGUAAACGAUGUGUACUAAGUGUUGCGGUGGAGACAUUGCAGUGCUGAAGCCAACGUGAUAAGUACACCACCUGGGGAGUACGGUCGCAAGAUUAAAACUCAAAGGAAUUGACGGGGACCCGCACAAGCAGCGGAGCGUGUGGUUUAAUUCGAGGCUACACGAA
Molecule: ribosomal RNA, 800 nt
Filed under: uncultured bacterium
Lineage: Bacteria
Description: bacterial SSU rRNA
Rfam family: Bacterial small subunit ribosomal RNA
Source: RNAcentral